This is a small nuclear RNA of Sapajus apella (tufted capuchin), 107 nucleotides long. The record is from RefSeq and is a predicted model, not a curated record. NCBI's taxonomy places the organism in Eukaryota, Metazoa, Chordata, Mammalia, Primates, Cebidae.
GUGCUCACUUCAGCAGCACAUACACUAAAAUUAGAAUGCUACAAAGAAUAUUUGUAUGGACGCUGCACAAGAAUAACACAAAAAUUUGUGAAGUGUCCCAUGAAAAA